UCUGGCUCAGGAUGAACGCUAGCUACAGGCUUAACACAUGCAAGUCGAGGGGCAUCAUGGAGUUGCUUGCAAACUCUGAUGGCGACCGGCGCACGGGUGAGUAACGCGUAUCCAACCUUCCCUAUAGUAGAGGAUAGCCCGGCGAAAGUCGGAUUAAUACUCUAUGUUUUCCGUUGCAGACAUCUAAGAUGGAACAAAGGCUUGCCGCUAUAGGAUGGGGAUGCGUCUGAUUAGGUAGUCGGCGGGGUAACGGCCCACCGAGCCAUCGAUCAGUAGGGUUCUGAGAGGAAGGUCCCCCACAUUGGAACUGAGACACGGUCCAAACUCCUACGGGAGGCAGCAGUGAGGAAUAUUGGUCAAUGGGCGAGAGCCUGGACCAGCCAAGUAGCGUGCAGGACGACCGGCCCUAGUGGGUUAGUAAACUGUCUUUUAUGGCGGGGAUAAAGUUCACUACGUGUAGUGUUUUGUAGGUACCGCAUGAAUAAGGACCGGCUAAUUCCGUGCCAGCCGCAGC
RNAcentral lists this ribosomal RNA (514 nucleotides) under uncultured bacterium. RNAcentral describes it as "bacterial SSU rRNA". It matches the Rfam family "Bacterial small subunit ribosomal RNA", at positions 18 to 518 of the family's 1533-position model. The record is from RNAcentral.